UGCUACUUGCAUCGGCAGCACUUAGACUAAAAUUAGAACGAUACAGAGAUCAGCGUAGCCCUUGCACAAGGAUGACACACAAAGAUCACUGAUAUAUAUAUAU
This is a non-coding RNA of Zootoca vivipara (common lizard), 103 nucleotides long. Lineage: Eukaryota; Metazoa; Chordata; Lepidosauria; Squamata; Lacertidae. The record is from RefSeq and is a predicted model, not a curated record.